This 478-nucleotide ribosomal RNA is filed under the name uncultured bacterium. RNAcentral describes it as "partial 16S ribosomal RNA". It matches the Rfam family "Bacterial small subunit ribosomal RNA", at positions 28 to 523 of the family's 1533-position model. The record is from RNAcentral.
GACGAACGCUGGCGGCGUGCUUAACACAUGCAAGUCGAACGGUAAGGCCCUUCGGGGUACACGAGUGGCGAACGGGUGAGUAACACGUGGGUGAUCUGCCCUGCACUUCGGGAUAAGCCUGGGAAACUGGGUCUAAUACCGGAUAGGACCCUGGGAUGCAUGUCCUGGGGUGGAAAGCUUUUGCGGUGUGGGAUGGGCCCGCGGCCUAUCAACUUGUUGGUGGGGUGAUGGCCUACCAAGGCGACGACGGGUAGCCGGCCUGAGAGGGUGACCGGCCACACUGGGACUGAGAUACGGCCCAGACUCCUACGGGAGGCAGCAGUGGGGAAUAUUGCUCAAUGGGCGCAAGCCUGAUGCAGCGACGCCGCGUGAGGUAUGACGGCCUUCGGGUUGUAAACCUCUUUCAGCACCGACGAAGCGCAAGUGACGGUAGGUGCAGAAGAAGGACCGGCCAACUACGUGCCAGCAGCCGCCGUAA